UGGGGAAUAUUGCACAAUGGGGGAAACCCUGAUGCAGCGACGCCGCGUGAGCGAAGAAGGUUUUCGAAUCGUAAAGCUCUGUCCUAUGAGAAGAUAAUGACGGUAUCAUAGGAGGAAGCCCCGGCUAAAUACGUGCCAGCAGCCGCGGUAAUACGUAUGGGGCGAGCGUUGUCCGGAAUUAUUGGGCGUAAAGGGUACGUAGGCGGUCUAUUAAGUCAGGUGUGAAAGCGUGAGGCUUAACCUCAUUAAGCACUUGAAACUGAUAGACUUGAGUGAAGGAGAGGAAAGUGGAAUUCCUAGUGUAGCGGUGAAAUGCGUAGAUAUUAGGAGGAAUACCGGUGGCGAAGGCGACUUUCUGGACUUUUCCUGACGCUCAGGUACGAAAGCGUGGGGAGCAAACAGG
Molecule: ribosomal RNA, 403 nt
Filed under: Verrucomicrobiota bacterium
Lineage: Bacteria; Pseudomonadati; Verrucomicrobiota
Description: Verrucomicrobia bacterium partial 16S ribosomal RNA
Rfam family: Bacterial small subunit ribosomal RNA
Source: RNAcentral